AGGACGAACGCUGGCGGCGUGCUUAACAAAUGCAAGUCGAGCGGAAAGGCCCUUCGGGGUACUCGAGCGGCGAACGGGUGAGUAACACGUGAGUAACCUGCCCCUAGCUUCGGGAUAGCUCCGGGAAACCGGAAUUAAUACCGGAUAUGACCACGGCCGACAUCGGCCACGGUGGAAAGAUUCAUCGGCUAGGGAUGGGCUCGCGGCCUAUCAGCUUGUUGGUGGGGUAACAGCCUACCAAGGCGACGACGGGUA
RNAcentral lists this ribosomal RNA (255 nucleotides) under uncultured bacterium. RNAcentral describes it as "partial small subunit ribosomal RNA". It matches the Rfam family "Bacterial small subunit ribosomal RNA", at positions 26 to 285 of the family's 1533-position model. The record is from RNAcentral.